RNAcentral lists this ribosomal RNA (360 nucleotides) under uncultured Acinetobacter sp. RNAcentral's name for it is "bacterial SSU rRNA". It matches the Rfam family "Bacterial small subunit ribosomal RNA", at positions 373 to 725 of the family's 1533-position model. Lineage: Bacteria; Pseudomonadati; Pseudomonadota; Gammaproteobacteria; Moraxellales; Moraxellaceae. The record is from RNAcentral.
GGGGGGGACCUGAUCCAGCCAUGCCGCGUGUGUGAAGAAGGCCUUUUGGUUGUAAAGCACUUUAAGCGAGGAGGAGGCUACCGAGAUUAAUACUCUUGGAUAGUGGACGUUACUCGCAGAAUAAGCACCGGCUAACUCUGUGCCAGCAGCCGCGGUAAUACAGAGGGUGCAAGCGUUAAUCGGAUUUACUGGGCGUAAAGCGCGCGUAGGUGGCCAAUUAAGUCAAAUGUGAAAUCCCCGAGCUUAACUUGGGAAUUGCAUUCGAUACUGGUUGGCUAGAGUAUGGGAGAGGAUGGUAGAAUUCCAGGUGUAGCGGUGAAAUGCGUAGAGAUCUGGAGGAAUACCGAUUGCGAAGGCAGA